CCCGCACCAACGCAUUAAGUAGUCCACCUGGGGAGUACGUUCGCCAGAAUGAACUCAAGGAAUUGACGGGGACCCGCACAAGCGGUGGAGCAUGUGGUUAAUUCGAAGCAACGCGAAGACCUUACCUGGUCUUGACAUCCCGGUGACCGGCAAGUAAUGUUGCCUUUCCUUCGGGACACCGGUGACAGGUGGUGCAUGGUUGUCGUCAGCUCGUGUCGUGAGAUGUUGGGUUAAGUCCCGCAACGAGCGCAACCCCUAUCUUCAGUAGCCAGCAUUUAAGGUGGGCACUCUGGAGAGACUGCCAGGGAUAACCUGGAGGAAGGUGGGGAUGACGUCAAAUCAUCAUGCCCCUUAUGACCAGGGCUACACACGUGCUACAAUGGCGUGAACAAAGGGUAGCGAACCUGUGAGGGGAAGCAAAUCUCAAAAAUAACGUCUCAGUUCGGAUUGUAGUCUGCAACUCGACUACAUGAAGCUGGAAUCGCUAGUAAUCGCGAGUCAGCAUGUCGCGGUGAAUACGUUCCCGGGUCUUGUACACACCGCCCGUCACACCAUGGGAGUCAGUAUCGCACGAAGUCAGUGACCCAACCGUAAGGAGGGAGUUGCCGAAGGUGGGACCGAUAACUGGGGUGAAGU
RNAcentral lists this ribosomal RNA (636 nucleotides) under uncultured bacterium. Its description in RNAcentral is "bacterial SSU rRNA". It matches the Rfam family "Bacterial small subunit ribosomal RNA", at positions 846 to 1486 of the family's 1533-position model. The record is from RNAcentral.